AAAGAGAGACCGAGAGAAAAGAGAGACAGAAAAAUAGAGAGGUAGAGAACGGAGAAGGAGAGAGAGAUCGAGAGAUCAAAAACUGCAGUUUGCAAUCAAGAAUGAAAAGAUGUCUCUCCCUUCCUGUUAGAUUUUCUGCCAUCAUCGUAAACCUUCACUCGCUACCCGACCCUCAAAAUCGUUACUGAAUGGUAUUUUGGGUCAGAUUUGGUUUUGAUUAAGGGAUACGAAGAUAGAGGAACCAAGCAGAGUUCGUAGCGAUACAGAGAAAGGGAAGGAGAAAAAAAAAAAGAUUGCGGCAAGAACGAAGAGGAGUCAUACCCCGCCCAUUACGACAUGCUUUUGAUGGAUUGAACACCAUAAUGGACAUUAAUGUUACACAAAUUAUACCAAGGAGACCACGUGAAGUACAGGAUGGAGAACUUUCCUUGCAUAAUGGAAAAUCAAUAUCUUAAAUAAAGGACUUGGAGUGGAACUUAGAGACAAAGGUAUCAAAGGAUACAUGUCCAAGUAGAAAGUAAAACCGAUUCAACAACAUUCAUUUCGUUUGACAAAGCGACUGAGAAAUUUGUAUCUAAGAUUGUAAAAGAACUUGCAGAGAUAUAAGCAGAGCUUAUAAACCUGCUGAAGAUGGAAAAUGAGAAGAUGAUAGCAUGCUUAUUCAAAUGCUUCACAAACGAAACAAUGCUACUAAACAAAAUGCAUCAAAGAAGAAGAAAAAUUGAAGAAGGAAAAAUAGCAACUACAGAAUUCAAUUUAAUUUUCAGUUUUUGGUUUUCCUCCUAACUGUUCUACUAUUUUUAAAGAGGGAUUGAAAUUGUGGAACUUUGAAAUCUGAAAGUGUAAUGUUAUUUAUACAAAGUUGAUUAUUUCAUAGAUUUUAGUCAAUAUUUCACCCUAUCUGCAUAAUUACUAGGGUUAGCUACUUUAAACUUUUAUUUUAAUGGUAGACAAUUGUAGAAAAUGUAUUUUGUUGUUGUAAUUUUAUGGUUGCUGGUGGGUGAAUUUUCAAUAAUAAAACAAUGAAUGUGAUUGCUAUUAAGUUGACAAGUUUUUAGUGGUAUCAUCUUAAUAUCUUUUGGUUAAUUUUUUGUUUAUAGUUUGUGAAAUUUCUAUUGCUAUGACAGCCUUGCAGCUAUUCUUUGAUGAUAA
Long non-coding RNA from Quercus lobata, 1152 nucleotides. RefSeq lists it as uncharacterized. The record is from RefSeq and is a predicted model, not a curated record. NCBI's taxonomy places the organism in Eukaryota, Viridiplantae, Streptophyta, Magnoliopsida, Fagales, Fagaceae. The transcript is spliced from 5 exons.